GGGUUGUGAGGUUAAGCGACUAAGCGUACACGGUGGAUGCCCUGGCAGUCAGAGGCGAUGAAGGACGUGCUAAUCUGCGAUAAGCGUCGGUGAGGUGAUAUGAACCGUUAUAACCGGCGAUUUCCGAAUGGGGAAACCCAGUGUGAUUCGUCACACUAUCAUUAACUGAAUCCAUAGGUUAAUGAGGCGAACCGGGGGAACUGAAACAUCUAAGUACCCCGAGGAAAAGAAAUCAACCGAGAUUCCCCCAGUAGCGGCGAGCGAACGGGGAGGAGCCCAGAGCCUGAAUCAGUGUGUGUGUUAGUGGAAGCGUCUGGAAAGGCGCGCGAUACAGGGUGACAGCCCCGUACACAAAAAUGCACAUAUUGUGAGCUCGAUGAGUAGGGCGGGACACGUGGUAUCCUGUCUGAAUAUGGGGGGACCAUCCUCCAAGGCUAAAUACUCCUGACUGACCGAUAGUGAACCAGUACCGUGAGGGAAAGGCGAAAAGAACCCCGGCGAGGGGAGUGAAAAAGAACCUGAAACCGUGUACGUACAAGCAGUGGGAGCCUCUUUUAUGGGGUGACUGCGUACCUUUUGUAUAAUGGGUCAGCGACUUAUAUUCUGUAGCAAGGUUAACCGAAUAGGGGAGCCGAAGGGAAACCGAGUCUUAACUGGGCGUUAAGUUGCAGGGUAUAGACCCGAAACCCGGUGAUCUAGCCAUGGGCAGGUUGAAGGUUGGGUAACACUAACUGGAGGACCGAACCGACUAAUGUUGAAAAAUUAGCGGAUGACUUGUGGCUGGGGGUGAAAGGCCAAUCAAACCGGGAGAUAGCUGGUUCUCCCCGAAAGCUAUUUAGGUAGCGCCUCGUGAAUUCAUCUCCGGGGGUAGAGCACUGUUUCGGCAAGGGGGUCAUCCCGACUUACCAACCCGAUGCAAACUGCGAAUACCGGAGAAUGUUAUCACGGGAGACACACGGCGGGUGCUAACGUCCGUCGUGAAGAGGGAAACAACCCAGACCGCCAGCUAAGGUCCCAAAGUCAUGGUUAAGUGGGAAACGAUGUGGGAAGGCCCAGACAGCCAGGAUGUUGGCUUAGAAGCAGCCAUCAUUUAAAGAAAGCGUAAUAGCUCACUGGUCGAGUCGGCCUGCGCGGAAGAUGUAACGGGGCUAAACCAUGCACCGAAGCUGCGGCAGCGACGCUUAUGCGUUGUUGGGUAGGGGAGCGUUCUGUAAGCCUGUGAAGGUGUGCUGUGAGGCAUGCUGGAGGUAUCAGAAGUGCGAAUGCUGACAUAAGUAACGAUAAAGCGGGUGAAAAGCCCGCUCGCCGGAAGACCAAGGGUUCCUGUCCAACGUUAAUCGGGGCAGGGUGAGUCGACCCCUAAGGCGAGGCCGAAAGGCGUAGUCGAUGGGAAACAGGUUAAUAUUCCUGUACUUGGUGUUACUGCGAAGGGGGGACGGAGAAGGCUAUGUUGGCCGGGCGACGGUUGUCCCGGUUUAAGCGGGUAGGCUGGUUUUCCAGGCAAAUCCGGAAAAUCAAGGCUGAGGCGUGAUGACGAGGCACUACGGUGCUGAAGCAACAAAUGCCCUGCUUCCAGGAAAAGCCUCUAAGCAUCAGGUAACAUCAAAUCGUACCCCAAACCGACACAGGUGGUCAGGUAGAGAAUACCAAGGCGCUUGAGAGAACUCGGGUGAAGGAACUAGGCAAAAUGGUGCCGUAACUUCGGGAGAAGGCACGCUGAUAUGUAGGUGAAGCGACUUGCUCGUGGAGCUGAAAUCAGUCGAAGAUACCAGCUGGCUGCAACUGUUUAUUAAAAACACAGCACUGUGCAAACACGAAAGUGGACGUAUACGGUGUGACGCCUGCCCGGUGCCGGAAGGUUAAUUGAUGGGGUCAGCGCAAGCGAAGCUCUUGAUCGAAGCCCCGGUAAACGGCGGCCGUAACUAUAACGGUCCUAAGGUAGCGAAAUUCCUUGUCGGGUAAGUUCCGACCUGCACGAAUGGCGUAAUGAUGGCCAGGCUGUCUCCACCCGAGACUCAGUGAAAUUGAACUCGCUGUGAAGAUGCAGUGUACCCGCGGCAAGACGGAAAGACCCCGUGAACCUUUACUAUAGCUUGACACUGAACAUUGAGCCUUGAUGUGUAGGAUAGGUGGGAGGCUUAGAAGUGUGGACGCCAGUCUGCAUGGAGCCGACCUUGAAAUACCACCCUUUAAUGUUUGAUGUUCUAACGUGGACCCGUGAUCCGGGUUGCGGACAGUGUCUGGUGGGUAGUUUGACUGGGGCGGUCUCCUCCUAAAGAGUAACGGAGGAGCACGAAGGUUGGCUAAUCCUGGUCGGACAUCAGGAGGUUAGUGCAAUGGCAUAAGCCAGCUUGACUGCGAGCGUGACGGCGCGAGCAGGUGCGAAAGCAGGUCAUAGUGAUCCGGUGGUUCUGAAUGGAAGGGCCAUCGCUCAACGGAUAAAAGGUACUCCGGGGAUAACAGGCUGAUACCGCCCAAGAGUUCAUAUCGACGGCGGUGUUUGGCACCUCGAUGUCGGCUCAUCACAUCCUGGGGCUGAAGUAGGUCCCAAGGGUAUGGCUGUUCGCCAUUUAAAGUGGUACGCGAGCUGGGUUUAGAACGUCGUGAGACAGUUCGGUCCCUAUCUGCCGUGGGCGCUGGAGAACUGAGGGGGGCUGCUCCUAGUACGAGAGGACCGGAGUGGACGCAUCACUGGUGUUCGGGUUGUCAUGCCAAUGGCACUGCCCGGUAGCUAAAUGCGGAAGAGAUAAGUGCUGAAAGCAUCUAAGCACGAAACUUGCCCCGAGAUGAGUUCUCCCUGACUCCUUGAGAGUCCUGAAGGAACGUUGAAGACGACGACGUUGAUAGGCCGGGUGUGUAAGCGCAGCGAUGCGUUGAGCUAACCGGUACUAAUGAACCGUGAGGCUUAACCUUACAACGCCGAAG
Molecule: ribosomal RNA, 2925 nt
Filed under: Escherichia coli
Lineage: Bacteria; Pseudomonadati; Pseudomonadota; Gammaproteobacteria; Enterobacterales; Enterobacteriaceae
Also listed under: 4 other names
Description: bacterial LSU rRNA
Rfam family: Bacterial large subunit ribosomal RNA
Source: RNAcentral